RNAcentral lists this ribosomal RNA (201 nucleotides) under uncultured bacterium. Its description in RNAcentral is "partial 16S ribosomal RNA". It matches the Rfam family "Bacterial small subunit ribosomal RNA", at positions 328 to 539 of the family's 1533-position model. The record is from RNAcentral.
ACGCUCGACACCUACGGGAGGCAGCAGUGGGGAAUAUUGCACAAUGGGGGAAACCCUGAUGCAGCGACGCCGCGUGAAGGAAGAAGUAUUUCGGUAUGUAAACUUCUAUCAGCAGGGAAGAAGAAAGUGACGGUACCUGACUAAGAAGCCCCGGCUAACUACGUGCCCGCAGCCGCGGUAAUCUGAGCGGGCUGGCAAGGC